ACAGCACUUAUAACUUUAAAAAACAAAAUUUUAACUUUUUGGAUUAUUAUAUUAGAAUAAAAGAAUAUUGGAAUUAUUUAUCCUUCAAAUAAGGGGGGAAGUCCUUUCAGUUUGACAAAUAGUAGCAUAAGUGUCCAGUUUCCGUUAUUCUUUUUUAUUUUACAAAAAAUACAACACCUCUCUAUCUAUGAUGAUAUAAAGAAUAAAUAAUUUCAUACCUACAAUGAUCAUAUAUCUUGAAAAAUUUCCAUACAAGCAAGCAUCAUUAUAAUUUGGUAGUCAAGACAGUCAUAUCAUUUGAUAAUACUGUAUUAUCUUGUGUUUUUUGGUAAGUAUAUUGUGUUAUCUUGUUUGGUAUGACAUGCUGGAGCUAAUAUAUUGUCUAUUUAAAAUGUUUCUUUGAUAGUUAAUAUAAACAAAAUGACAUCUAGAAUGAUUUUAAUGUAUUAUUAGACGAUUGCAUCUAGAAAUUACCCAGAAUUUAAAUUCAAUCUAGAAUCAUUUUGUUUAUUUUUAUUUUCUUUUUAGCUCUGUACAUUACUCUUAUUUUUGCAUUUUCUUUUUGUAUUGUUGUGUUAAUUUGGUCUUUUUCUUUUCUUUUUUUUUUUGAUAAAAUUGUGUUUUUGUUCUUUUUUUUUUUGUAUUUGACUUGUAUUUGCAGCUUCUUUUAUUUUAUAUUUCAUUUUCAUUUCUAUGUAAUUAUUUUGUACUUCUAGCGUUCUUUUCUUUCCAGAUUUUACUUUUUUUUAUUACUUUUUAACUUUUCUGUUUCCCUUUUAAGCUAGUAGUUUUUUAAAAAUUAUUUUCCAUCUGACAUGCUUUGCACAUGGAUAUAUAUAGUCUGCUUCAAAACGGCCCACAAAUAUAACUAUUUGAUUGUCCUGCAACAGCUCGAAGCGUAGGGGAUGAGUAAAGAAAAAAAGGAACUCUCCUCUCCCAUCAACCCCUCACCAGAAAAUUAUUGUAAGAGAUCCCAAACACGAUGUUCUAUCAACACUUCAUAAACAAGAUCUCAUGUGCUAGUGAAGAAUCAAGGAGAAUAGAAGAACUAUAUAUAUAUAUAUAUAUAUGUGUGUGUGUGUGUGUGUA
Molecule: long non-coding RNA, 1089 nt
Filed under: Elaeis guineensis (African oil palm)
Lineage: Eukaryota; Viridiplantae; Streptophyta; Magnoliopsida; Arecales; Arecaceae
Description: long non-coding RNA (EGUI_LNC029109)
Source: RNAcentral